Molecule: ribosomal RNA, 253 nt
Filed under: uncultured Alphaproteobacteria bacterium
Lineage: Bacteria; Pseudomonadati; Pseudomonadota; Alphaproteobacteria
Description: partial 16S ribosomal RNA
Rfam family: Bacterial small subunit ribosomal RNA
Source: RNAcentral
UACGAAGGGUGCUAGCGUUGUUCGGAAUUACUGGGCGUAAAGCGCGCGUAGGCGGCUAUUCAAGUCAGAGGUGAAAUCCCCAGGCUCAACCUGGGAAUUGCCUUUGAAACUGUAUAGCUAGAGUGUCGGAGGGGAUAGCGGAAUUCCUAAUGUAGAGGUGAAAUUCGUAGAUAUUAGGAGGAACACCGGUGGCGAAGGCGGCUAUCUGGACGACAACUGACGCUGAGGCGCGAAAGCACGGGGAUCAAACAGG